UUUCCGUAGGUGAACCUGCGGAAGGAUCAUUAACACAAAAAAAAAAAAGGAAGGUUUAUUCUUUCCUUUUUUCUAAACUUGUUUCUCUCGAUCCAAUUAAAACCUGGAUUUGAGAGAGACAAUAAGCACAGUAAUGUGAAUACCAUCAAGUCUUUAACAAUAUGCCACCAAGGCUUAACCUCUUUUGGUGGUUCAUCUUAUUGUUAUUUAAAAACUCAUAUAAUUUUUUAUAUAUUCAUCAAAGCGUUGUAACUGAUCACUAAAAAGGUCUUUAUUUUUUUUUCAUUCAAAUCGUUUCGUAUGAUUGAUUGAUUUUUAAAAAAUAUUUACCUUGGAGGUUGAUUAAUUGAUAUAUAUAACCAAAAGACAACUUUUAACAACGGAUAUCUUGGUUCUC
Molecule: unclassified non-coding RNA, 397 nt
Filed under: plant metagenome
Description: partial contains small subunit ribosomal RNA, internal transcribed spacer 1, and 5.8S ribosomal RNA
Source: RNAcentral